GAGAGGGCUCCUAAACUGGAUUUUGGAGGAACUGAAUUCAGAAUGAUCAAAGUACAACCAAAUGUACUUGAGACGUCCACAGCCAGUUCAGACAUGGGGCUGGAAUGAUGUGUCAAAGCCCACAGAAUGUAGAACACCCAGAGUGAACCCUAAUGUGAACAUGGACUUCGGAUGAUGAUGUCGGUUCAUCGAAAACACCCAGAGUGAACCCUAAUGUGAACAUGGACUUUGGAUGAUGAUGUGGGUUCAUCGAUUGUACCAAAAAUGCCUCUGUGGUACAGGAUGCUGAUGGUGCGGAAGGCCACGAGUGUGUGGAGCAGGGGUAUACGGGAACUCUCUGUACCUUCUGCUUAAAUUUGUU
Molecule: long non-coding RNA, 361 nt
Filed under: Pan troglodytes (chimpanzee)
Lineage: Eukaryota; Metazoa; Chordata; Mammalia; Primates; Hominidae
Description: long non-coding RNA NONPTRT012289
Source: RNAcentral